This is a long non-coding RNA of Cyprinus carpio carpio, 1503 nucleotides long. The record is from Ensembl. Lineage: Eukaryota; Metazoa; Chordata; Actinopteri; Cypriniformes; Cyprinidae.
UUCAUGGUAUUCUUAUGUCAUUGAUGAGUUAUUGGUGGAUGUCAGGUUUAGAUCAUAGUUACACCAGAUAAUGUAGCGGCAUUGAGUUUUAAUGACCUCAGCUCAUGAAAAACAGGACGCUCCACUAUGCUACUGUAUGUGAUGCUAACUUUGAGAAAAUAAUGCUAUUGCUGUUUGCAUGCUCUUUUAUUGUAGUUCAAUCUAUGAAAUCAUGAGAAAACAGGAAACCAAGUUGUUGUUGUUUUUUAAAAUGUUAUUGGUGCUUUUUUUCACGAUACACAUUAAUGCUUUUGAAAUGUUUGUCAUGCAUAGUUCUCCAAAAACUCUGUAUGCUUUGAUUUUUAUCAUGUUUGCAGGGAUGAUAACAUCUCUACCUCAAAUACAAUAGCAAACAGUCCAAUACAUAUUUUCUUUUGCACACAUGUAUAAUAAAUUGGACCAUGGGAUUUUGGACAGUUGCAGAGUUCUAAUUUGAUGCUUCAAUAUUGUUUAUUUAUAUGAUUUCUAUCUAUGGCUCACACAAAGCUUAUAAAAUUUUUGUUUCCAAAAUGUCUGUCCAUUCCACUCUGUUUCCAAUUUUAACCUAAAAAUUUGAAAGAAUUUUACUGUGUUUUAAAAUGAAUAAAAAUGAAAACGAAUCAAUGGAGUGUAUUCUUAUAUAUUUUUAUACAGUAUUUUGUAAGAUCUCAGUAUAAGCUGCACGAUUUUUAGCUGUUUGUGUGCAGAAAAUACAUCACUUGUUGCUAUUACUCUGACGUCCACACGGUGGUGUUACUCUGCAAAAUUACAAAUGCCACAACGAAAGAAAAAAAAAGUAAGACAGACUGAAGUCUAAUCUUCUCUUCAGUUGACCCCUGGCCCCAAGUGAUAUAUAGCGGAGAGCCGGUGAGCACUCCAUGAAUCUUCCAUCUCCUGGCCAGGGUAGAUUCUCACCAUAUGUUUCAUUGGGCACCUGGCCAUGCAGGGUUAGAUUGCUCCAUUGAGCUAAACAAACUGAGCUUCUUUUGCACACAAAACUCAGUGUAAGAGGACAAUGAGGGCUGCAUGAGUCCGGUGUUCUGGAUCAAGAGUCUCCAGCACACAUGAACAGCAUCAUGGCUCAUCAGCUAACCUCUGGAGAGAAACUAGUGAAAGAAACAUGCAGAGAUCGCUUAUACUAAACAAAUUAAUGAACUUUCUAUUAAUUUCUUUGGAGAAUCCUAAAAAAAAAUUAUAGUUAGAAUACUUUUUUUUAGAAUAAAUAUCAGAAAGAUUUCUGAAGGAUCAUGUAACACUGAAGACUGGAAGAUUGAUGCUAAAAACACACACAGUAGCAAACUGCAUUUUAAAAUAUAUUCAAAUAGAAAACAGUUAUUUUAGAUUGUAAAAAUACUUCACGAUAUUAUUGUUUUUGCUGUAUUUUAGAUCAAAUAAAUGCAGCAUUUUGAACAGAAGAGACUUUUAGAAACAUUUAAAAAAUCUUACUGAUCUAAAAUUUUUAAAGAGUUUUAGUGUGUGUGUGUG